GUGCCUAUAGCUCAACAGGAUAGAGCAGUUGCCUCCUAAGCGACCGAUUCAGGUUCGAGUCCUGAUAGGCACG
This 73-nucleotide transfer RNA is filed under the name Lwoffella lincolnii. Its description in RNAcentral is "Moraxella lincolnii tRNA". It matches the Rfam family "tRNA". Rfam says of the family: Transfer RNA (tRNA) molecules are approximately 80 nucleotides in length. Their secondary structure includes four short double-helical elements and three loops (D, anti-codon, and T loops). Lineage: Bacteria; Pseudomonadati; Pseudomonadota; Gammaproteobacteria; Moraxellales; Moraxellaceae. The record is from Rfam by way of RNAcentral.